UGGCCAAGUCGAAACUGAACAUCCUGCAGC
This 30-nucleotide non-coding RNA is filed under the name Rattus norvegicus (Norway rat). The record is from RNAcentral. Lineage: Eukaryota; Metazoa; Chordata; Mammalia; Rodentia; Muridae.